RNAcentral lists this ribosomal RNA (263 nucleotides) under uncultured archaeon. RNAcentral describes it as "partial 16S ribosomal RNA". It matches the Rfam family "Archaeal small subunit ribosomal RNA", at positions 748 to 1008 of the family's 1478-position model. The record is from RNAcentral.
CAGCCGUAAACUAUGCGCGUUAGGUGUAUCGGUGACCACGAGUCACCGAGGUGCCGAAGGGAAACCGUGAAACGUGCCGCCUGGGAAGUACGGUCGCAAGGCUGAAACUUAAAGGAAUUGGCGGGGGAGGCACCGCAACGGGAGGAGCGUGCGGUUUAAUUGGAUUCAACACCGUAAACUACACCAGGGAAGACUGUUACAUGAAGGCCGAGAUGAAGACUCUGCUAGAUUUUCUAGAGAGGUGGUGCAUGGCGUCAGUGACU